RNAcentral lists this ribosomal RNA (301 nucleotides) under uncultured bacterium. RNAcentral's name for it is "partial 16S ribosomal RNA". It matches the Rfam family "Bacterial small subunit ribosomal RNA", at positions 509 to 809 of the family's 1533-position model. The record is from RNAcentral.
CAGCCGCCACGGUAAUACAGAGGGUGCAAGCGUUAAUCGGAAUUACUGGGCGUAAAGCGCGCGUAGGUGGUUCGCCAAGUUGGAUGUGAAAUCCCCGGGCUCAACCUGGGAACUGCAUCCAAAACUGGCGAGCUAGAGUAUGGUAGAGGGUGGUGGAAUUUCCUGUGUAGCGGUGAAAUGCGUAGAUAUAGGAAGGAACAUCAGUGGCGAAGGCGACCACCUGGACUGAUACUGACACUGAGGUGCGAAAGCGUGGGGAGCAAACAGGAUUAGAUACCCCAGUAGUCCCUGUCUCUUAUAA